AGAUUUGCUCAGUGGCACUAUUAUAGCCAGAGGCGUGAUUAUUGCUAAUUGAAAACUUUUACCAAUACCCUGCCAUGAUGACUUGAAAUACAGUCAGCCUUGGCAAUUUUUGAAUCUCUAUGGAAUAAAGA
Molecule: small nuclear RNA, 131 nt
Filed under: Cebus imitator (Panamanian white-faced capuchin)
Lineage: Eukaryota; Metazoa; Chordata; Mammalia; Primates; Cebidae
Description: U4 spliceosomal RNA (ENSCCAG00000001868.1)
Rfam family: U4 spliceosomal RNA
About the family: U4 small nuclear RNA (U4 snRNA) is a component of the major U2-dependent spliceosome.
Source: Rfam by way of RNAcentral